GUGUCAGCCGCCGCGGUAAUACGGGGGGGACGAGCGUUGUUCGGAUUUACUGGGCGUAAAGGGCGCGUAGGCGGACCUUCAAGUCGGAUGUGAAACCCCCGGGCUUAACUCGGGGCCUGCAUUUGAUACUGUCGGUCUUGAGUACAGGAGAGGAGAGUGGAAUUCCAGGUGUAGCGGUGAAAUGCGUAGAUAUCUGGAAGAACACCAGUAGCGAAGGCGGCUCUCUGGACUGAUACUGACGCUCAAGCGCGAAGGCUUGGGGAGCAAACAGGAUUAGAUACCCGCGUAGUCC
RNAcentral lists this ribosomal RNA (292 nucleotides) under uncultured bacterium. RNAcentral describes it as "partial 16S ribosomal RNA". It matches the Rfam family "Bacterial small subunit ribosomal RNA", at positions 505 to 796 of the family's 1533-position model. The record is from RNAcentral.